This is a long non-coding RNA of Arachis duranensis, 453 nucleotides long. RefSeq lists it as uncharacterized. The transcript is spliced from 3 exons. NCBI's taxonomy places the organism in Eukaryota, Viridiplantae, Streptophyta, Magnoliopsida, Fabales, Fabaceae. The record is from RefSeq and is a predicted model, not a curated record.
CUCACCCUUCUCCUGAAAGAAAGAAAAGAUGCGAAGAACCCUAGUGGCGUAGCCCCCAGCCCCGUAGCACACAGCCGCCGUAGCCACGCAGCCCCACAGCCCCGCAUAGCCCACCGCCACCGCAUCUCCUCUCCUCUGUUUGAGCUCUCUCUGUUUUCGCCGUGUCGCGCCGUCACUCCCCCUUCCUCUUCGCCGCCGAGCUUAAAGGUUUUGAGAACAAGCGAAGAGGUGAACUGAAAGUAAUAAAAGUUUUCCAGGCUGAGCUAUUUGACAAGUUUCUCCAUGGCUCAACCUUAGAUGAAUGCUAUUCAGCUAUUGCUGUUGUGGCAGGCUUGAUCUUCUUGAUGUGUGCUAAAGUUUCAUGUUAAUUUUUGUAUUAAGAGCAUUGAGAUUUUUUUUUAAUUUAGUUUGUUGAGGAUAUAUUUGGCCAUGAUUGGAUAUAAUCUUCCAUGA